UACGUAGGGUGCAAGCGUUGUCCGGAAUUAUUGGGCGUAAAGAGCUCGUAGGCGGUCUGUCACGUCUGCUGUGAAAACCCGAGGCUCAACCUCGGGCCUGCAGUGGGUACGGGCAGACUAGAGUGCGGUAGGGGAGAAUGGAAUUCCUGGUGUAGCGGUGGAAUGCGCAGAUAUCAGGAGGAACACCGAUGGCGAAGGCAGUUCUCUGGGCCGUAACUGACGCUGAGGAGCGAAAGCGUGGGGAGCGAACAGG
RNAcentral lists this ribosomal RNA (253 nucleotides) under uncultured bacterium. Its description in RNAcentral is "partial 16S ribosomal RNA". It matches the Rfam family "Bacterial small subunit ribosomal RNA", at positions 524 to 776 of the family's 1533-position model. The record is from RNAcentral.